AGUGAACGCUGGCGGUAGGCCUAACACAUGCAAGUCGAACGGCAGCACAGUAAGAUCUUUCUCUUACGGUUGGCGAGUGGCGGACGGGUGAGGCAUACAUCGGAAUCUACUUUUUCUUGGGGGAUAACGUAGGGAAACUUACGCUACUACCUCAUACGACCUACGGCUGAAUUCAGUAGAUCUUCGCACCUUGCGCGAUUGAAUUAGCUGAUUUCGGAUUAGCUAGUUGGCGGGGUAAAGUCCCACCAAGGCGACGAUCCGUAGCUGGUCUGAGAGGAUGAGCAGACAAACUGGAACUGAGACACGGUCCAGACUCCUACGGGAGGCAGCAGUGGGGAAUAUUGGACAAUGGGCGCAAGCCUGAUCCAGAAAUACCGCGUGGGUGAAGAAGGCCUUCGGGUUGUAAAGCCCUUUUGUUGGGAAAGAAAAGCAGCAGGUUAAUACCCCGCUGUUCUGACGGUACCCAAAGAAUAAGCACCGGCUAACUUCGUG
Molecule: ribosomal RNA, 492 nt
Filed under: uncultured bacterium
Lineage: Bacteria
Description: partial 16S ribosomal RNA
Rfam family: Bacterial small subunit ribosomal RNA
Source: RNAcentral